CACGUAGGGCGCGAGCGUUGUCCGGAAUUAUUGGGCGUAAAGAGCUCGUAGGCGGCCUGUUGCGUCCGCUGUGAAAGCCCGGGGCUUAACCCCGGGUCUGCAGUGGAUACGGGCAGGCUAGAGGUAGGUAGGGGAGAAUGGAAUUCCUGGUGUAGCGGUGAAAUGCGCAGAUAUCAGGAGGAACACCGGUGGCGAAGGCGGGUCUCUGGGCCGAUACUGACGCUGAGGAGCGAAAGCGUGGGGAGCGAACAGG
This 253-nucleotide ribosomal RNA is filed under the name uncultured bacterium. Its description in RNAcentral is "partial 16S ribosomal RNA". It matches the Rfam family "Bacterial small subunit ribosomal RNA", at positions 524 to 776 of the family's 1533-position model. The record is from RNAcentral.